Molecule: ribosomal RNA, 253 nt
Filed under: uncultured bacterium
Lineage: Bacteria
Description: partial 16S ribosomal RNA
Rfam family: Bacterial small subunit ribosomal RNA
Source: RNAcentral
UACGUAGGGCGCAAGCGUUGUCCGGAAUUAUUGGGCGUAAAGAGCUCGUAGGCGGUCUGUCGCGUCUGUUGUGAAAACUUGAGGCUCAACCUCGGGCUUGCAGUGGAUACGGGCAGACUAGAGUGAUGUAGGGGAGACUGGAAUUCCUGGUGUAGCGGUGAAAUGCGCAGAUAUCAGGAGGAACACCGAUGGCGAAGGCAGGUCUCUGGGCAUUAACUGACGCUGAGGAGCGAAAGCAUGGGGAGCGAACAGG